UAUUGCACAAUGGGGGAAACCCUGAUGCAGCGACGCCGCGUGAGUGAGGAAGUAUUUCGGUAUGUAAAGCUCUAUCAGCAGGGAAGAAAAUGACGGUACCUGACCAAGAAGCCCCGGCUAACUACGUGCCAGCAGCCGCGGUAAUACGUAGGGGGCAAGCGUUAUCCGGAUUUACUGGGUGUAAAGGGAGCGUAGGCGGCUGUGUAAGCCAGAAGUGAAAGCCCGAGGCUCAACCACGGGACUGCUUUUGGAACUACAUGGCUUGAUUGCAGGAGAGGCAAGUGGAAUUCCUAGUGUAGCGGUGAAAUGCGUAGAUAUUAGGAGGAACACCAGUGGCGAAGGCGGCUUGCUGGACUGUAAAUGACGCUGAGACUCGAAAGCGUGGGGAGCAAACAGGA
This 398-nucleotide ribosomal RNA is filed under the name uncultured bacterium. RNAcentral describes it as "bacterial SSU rRNA". It matches the Rfam family "Bacterial small subunit ribosomal RNA", at positions 362 to 777 of the family's 1533-position model. The record is from RNAcentral.